This 511-nucleotide ribosomal RNA is filed under the name Vibrio sp. RNAcentral describes it as "bacterial SSU rRNA". It matches the Rfam family "Bacterial small subunit ribosomal RNA", at positions 547 to 1057 of the family's 1533-position model. The record is from RNAcentral. Lineage: Bacteria; Pseudomonadati; Pseudomonadota; Gammaproteobacteria; Vibrionales; Vibrionaceae.
GGAAUUACUGGGCGUAAAGCGCAUGCAGGUGGUUCAUUAAGUCAGAUGUGAAAGCCCGGGGCUCAACCUCGGAACUGCAUUUGAAACUGGUGAACUAGAGUACUGUAGAGGGGGGUAGAAUUUCAGGUGUAGCGGUGAAAUGCGUAGAGAUCUGAAGGAAUACCAGUGGCGAAGGCGGCCCCCUGGACAGAUACUGACACUCAGAUGCGAAAGCGUGGGGAGCAAACAGGAUUAGAUACCCUGGUAGUCCACGCCGUAAACGAUGUCUACUUGGAGGUUGUGGCCUUGAGCCGUGGCUUUCGGAGCUAACGCGUUAAGUAGACCGCCUGGGGAGUACGGUCGCAAGAUUAAAACUCAAAUGAAUUGACGGGGGCCCGCACAAGCGGUGGAGCAUGUGGUUUAAUUCGAUGCAACGCGAAGAACCUUACCUACUCUUGACAUCCAGAGAAGCCAGCGGAGACACAGGUGUGCCUUCGGGAGCUCUGAGACAGGUGCUGCAUGGCUGUCGUCA